UGAUAUCCAGGCAGUCUGACUGCAGCAUCUGUCUUGUAACCCCAUGGAUCUCAGGGUUGGUUUGGCUGAUCUGGCUAGCUAAGCAAGUAUCCUCUUCCUCCCUUACUGCUCCCUAUGUGUGCUUCCCCAAGCUGUGCACUCAGGAUGACCUUUUCCUGAUAGAGCACCGUUCUUCAGUCAAGGAUAUAUGAAUGGCUGCUCUGGUGCUAGAACUUCCAAACAAGGGGUUGGCAAGAUGGCUUAGAGAAUGCUUGCUAAGCGUGUAAAGUCUU
This 272-nucleotide small nuclear RNA is filed under the name Nannospalax galili (Upper Galilee mountains blind mole rat). RNAcentral's name for it is "7SK RNA (ENSNGAG00000006945.1)". It matches the Rfam family "7SK RNA", at positions 1 to 285 of the family's 331-position model. From Rfam's summary of the family: 7SK was discovered as an abundant small nuclear RNA in the mid-70s but a possible function has only recently been suggested. Two independent studies have found that 7SK RNA binds the CDK9/cyclin T complex (known as elongation factor P-TEFb). The record is from RNAcentral. Lineage: Eukaryota; Metazoa; Chordata; Mammalia; Rodentia; Spalacidae.